This 459-nucleotide ribosomal RNA is filed under the name uncultured bacterium. RNAcentral describes it as "partial 16S ribosomal RNA". It matches the Rfam family "Bacterial small subunit ribosomal RNA", at positions 338 to 795 of the family's 1533-position model. The record is from RNAcentral.
CCUACGGGUGGCAGCAGUGAGGAAUAUUGGUCAAUGGCCGAGAGGCUGAACCAGCCAAGUCGCGUGAGGGAAGACGGCCCUACGGGUUGUAAACCUCUUUUGUCGGGGAGCAAAGCGAGUCACGUGUGACUCAUUGAGAGUACCCGAAGAAAAAGCAUCGGCUAACUCCGUUCCAUCAGCCGCGGUAAUACGGAGGAUGCGAGCGUUAUCCGGAGUUAUUGGGUUUAAAGGGUGCGCAGGCGGAGGUGCAAGUCAGCGGUCAAAUUGCGGGGCUCAACCCCGUACUGCCGUUGAAACUGCAUGCCUUGAGUGCGCGAGAAGUAUGCGGAAUGCGUGGUGUAGCGGUGAAAUGCAUAGAUAUAACGCAGAACUCCGAUUGCGAAGGCAGCAUACCGGCGCGCAACUGACGCUCAUGCACGAAAGCGUGGGUAUCGAACAGGAUUAGAUACCCCAGUAGUC